AACGCACCUUGCGCUCCUUGGUAUUCCGAGGAGCAUGCCUGUUUGAGUGUCAUGAAAUUCUCAAGCUUGUAAGCUUUUACUAGCUGAUCAGGCUUGGAUGUGGGAGUUUGCGGGCUUCUCGAGAAAGUUGGCUCUCCUUAAAUUCAUUAGCGGGACCUUUUUGGUUGCUCCGGCCUUUGGUGUGAUAAUUGUUUACGCUAUUGUUGGAGUGAUUUGGGUGCAGCUUCUAAUUCUAAUUGUCUUUGUGACAAUGUAUAUGACAAUUUGACCUCAAAUCAAGUAGGACUACCCGCUGAACUUAA
RNAcentral lists this unclassified non-coding RNA (302 nucleotides) under uncultured fungus. Its description in RNAcentral is "partial contains 5.8S ribosomal RNA, internal transcribed spacer 2, and large subunit ribosomal RNA". The stretch from base 1 to 52 matches the Rfam family "5.8S ribosomal RNA", at positions 103 to 154 of the family's 154-position model. Lineage: Eukaryota; Fungi. The record is from RNAcentral. RNAcentral also lists the same sequence under 1 other name.